UAUAUGUUGGUGUAAAAGCACCGUAGAUUUUGAUUCUUCAAGAGUUAGUGAAAUUCUAUCACAUAUAA
This 68-nucleotide transfer RNA is filed under the name Polyphemus pediculus. Its description in RNAcentral is "tRNA-Gln". Lineage: Eukaryota; Metazoa; Arthropoda; Branchiopoda; Diplostraca; Polyphemidae. The record is from RNAcentral.